RNAcentral lists this unclassified non-coding RNA (2851 nucleotides) under Dimorphilus gyrociliatus. Its description in RNAcentral is "uBC core domain-containing protein". The record is from RNAcentral. Lineage: Eukaryota; Metazoa; Annelida; Polychaeta; Dinophilidae.
UUAUUUACACGUAGGUUGUAUUUAGACGCUAGCUCAUUUGCAUAUUAGUAGAGUAAAUAACCUUUAAAUUUUAUCGGACUGCUUGUAAAUCUUAAUAGGCCUUUGUAUAAUAUAUUUUAGGAAUAGAAAUUUUAUUUUUAUUAUCCAUUAGUAGAAUUAUUUUUAUAAGGUUUGACUUUAUUUUCGUUGAACCGUAGAAAAGUGAAUGUCUAUAUAAUGUUAUAUCAAUAUUAAAUUGUUUUAUUGAUGAUAGAAACGUUAGGGAUGUUGGAUGGAAUAUAUUUUUUUUUCUAUCACGGAAUAAAUUCACUGGCCUAUUUCAGUGUAUUUUUUCUUGUGCUUUCUUUCCACUUUUCUCUCUUCCAAGAGAGAUGUCGGCUCCAAGUAACAAAAGAGCGAUACAGCGUCUAGCAAAGGAUCUGGAUGAAAUAGAAAAAUAUCCGGUUGCUAACGUUUCAGCUGCCCCUUUAGACGAAAAUAUGUUUGAAUGGCACUGUAAUUUCCUUCACGAAGACGUCAUCUAUCAUUUAAUUCUUUUCUUUCCUACACAAUAUCCAUUUGUUUCCCCAUCAGCUGAGUUCGUUCCACCAGGUUUUCGAUUUCUUCGAGGAGCUACAGACGUUGGGAAAAAAGGAACGAAAAUUUGUCUCUCAAUAUUUUCAGAUUUCGCAAAAUAUCAUACCGAAUGGGCGAAUGAAAAAUCAAUGGGAUGGUCCCCUGGUUAUACAGUGCAAACUGUCUUAUUGAAUUUGGUCGCGUUUCUUGCAGAACAUCAAUCUGGCUCUUCGGUCGAUCAUUAUAAUAAAGAAAAUGCAAAAUUGGCUGAAAAGUUUGCAUGUGCCGAUUGUGGUCAUACUUACGCUAAACCCUUCCCACCGCUAUCAACCACGGAUGGUCCACCCGCUCUAGAUGAUGGUCCAAUAGUUGUUGAUUACGUGUCCAAAACAAGAAUGAAUUUCAAAUCUUCCCCAAAAUCUAGGGAUGAUCUCUUUGGUUACGGUCUAAUGCAGAGUGGUCCUAAAACCAGACCAUCGCUAACUUCGCCAUGUGAAUUUAUAUCAGGUGAAUCUUUCUUCUCUAUGAAAAAAUCACUUGGUACGGUUAAGUCUGUUCUGAAGGAAGAUUUAUCCUAUUUUCUACCGCUAUAUAUUAAUAAAUCUCACGGAGACAACAUUCAGAAGACGUUUGAAGAAACCAUGAUGGAAUUGGCGGUUCUACUACCGAAAUGUAAUCCAAAGAAGACGUCUGUCAGCGAAAUGGUUUUAAAAACCAUACCCAACUUAAUGAGCGCAACCGUUGUUGAUUUUUCUAAGGGGCAUCAACAUACUAGCGAUAAUCAUUUAAAUGGCUAUUUUUCUCUCCACCGCCUUUUGCUAUGGGCUAUCGAGACUUAUCCCGAUUUGCAGAAGAUAAUUGACGAUAGACUACAAAAUUUUAUAGAUAAUCCCGAUCAGCGAUCUAAGAAAGCUUGUCCUCAUAUUGGCGAAUGGCUUUUACUUUUAGCCGGCUCCUCCAAAUACACUUGGCCCGAUGCAGCCAAAGCCUAUUUGGGAGAGAGUUGGAAAAGGAAUGUCAUGUGGUACGUCAAAGACGACGCAAAGCUUGGUAUGUUGGACACAGAUAAAGAGUAUAGGUUAUCCAAAACCCUAGCUGCUACAGCAGUUAGUAGAAAGCUAUUGGCUUUUCAGGUUCUUUUUCUCGAUAUCGCCAUGGACAAAUCGUUAACUAGACAUCAGCUAAUUCAGCGCUAUAAUGAAAAUAACGGCUUUCCUACUGCUCAAAUGGUUGCAGAGAUGAAAGCCGCCUGUCAAAGAAUCAAGGAUAUGAAAACUUAUGAGGAUUGGUAUGAUAUUCUAAAACUGGAAGCACCUUCAAAAGAUCACAUCUUUAAUGAAUUGAAGGAAUGCGUCGAAUAUGCUAUCAACACAAAUGGCUAUCACUGGACGUUCUGGGCAACAGGAGGAGGAUGGGGAGAAGUUUUGAAAAGAUACAAACUUUAUAAACCAAAAGAGGAUGAUAAAGGGCAAAAAGCCAAAAAAGCUAAAGCCCCAGCUGCUAAGAAGGCGAAUGUCGUACAUGACGAACCAAGCGACAGCAGUAUGAGUGACCACGAUGAAAAACCAGCUAAACGUCGUCCUCCAAAAGCACCAGUUGCUAAAGCGAAACGGAUAAUUAAAGAUGAUGAUGAUGAUGACGAUGAAGAAGAAGUUGUUAAAAAGCCAGUAGUUGGAAGAGGAAAAAAACCGGCAAAACAACCUGCAGCAAAGAGGGGAGCAUCCCAAAGAGGACGUGGACGUGGACGCGGACGCGGUAAAGCGAAAAUAGAAGAAUCGGAAAAAGAGUCAUCAUUAGAAGAAAGCUCAUUGUCGGAAGAAGAAGAGCAACCUGUUAGAAAGGCUCCAGUUAAAAGGGGUAGAAGAGGGAAAGCCCCAGCCCCCGAAGUAAAACCUAAAAAAGCAAAAAUAGUAGAGGAAAAACCAGCUCCAAAAGCACCCGUCAGAGGUAGAGGUCGUGGAAGAGGAAGAGGAAGAGGCAAAUAACUCUAAAUAGGAAAAGAUUCAUGGCGAACAGAGAUAAAUCAAGAAAAAAUCAUUCAACUAUUUUCAAAAGUGUUGUAAUUGAUAUUCUAGCUGUUAAUUUGUGCACAUAACAUUUAGUACUCAAGUCGUUUUACUGCUGUUUCUUUUGUUGUUAUUUGAAAAUAGUUUUAAAUUUAUUCUCAAAUGAAAAUAAAUACGCAAUUAUUUAGGAAAAUCAAGAAUAAAUAACACGAUAUAAGUCUUAAACAUUAGUCAUAUUGAGAUAGGGAGAAAGAAAGAGAGAGAGAGAGAGAGAGAGAAAGAGAGGGAGA